Molecule: ribosomal RNA, 253 nt
Filed under: uncultured bacterium
Lineage: Bacteria
Description: partial 16S ribosomal RNA
Rfam family: Bacterial small subunit ribosomal RNA
Source: RNAcentral
UACGAAGGGGGCGAGCGUUGUUCGGAUUUACUGGGCGUAAAGGGCGCGCAGGCGGCUACAUUUGUCAGGCGUGAAAGCCCCGGGCUUAACCUGGGAACUGCAUUUGUGACUGCAUAGCUAGAGUACGGUAGAGGGGGAUGGAAUUCCGCGUGUAGCAGUGAAAUGCGUAGAUAUGCGGAGGAACACCGAUGGCGAAGGCAAUCCCCUGGACCUGUACUGACGCUCAUGCACGAAAGCGUGGGGAGCAAACAGG